Molecule: ribosomal RNA, 253 nt
Filed under: uncultured bacterium
Lineage: Bacteria
Description: partial 16S ribosomal RNA
Rfam family: Bacterial small subunit ribosomal RNA
Source: RNAcentral
UACGUAGGGGGCAAGCGUUGUCCGGAUUUAUUGGGCGUAAAGAGCGUGUAGGCGGCCAGGCAGGUCCGCUGUGAAAACUCGAGGCUCAACCUCGAGAGGUCGGUGGAAACCGUCUGGCUAGAGUCCGGAAGAGGAGAGUGGAAUUCCCGGUGUAGCGGUGAAAUGCGCAGAUAUCGGGAAGAACACCUAUGGCGAAGGCAGCUCUCUGGGACGGUACUGACGCUGAGACGCGAAAGCGUGGGGAGCGAACAGG